AGAGCGGUUUUGUGAAAGACGAAAAAGCCUUCCUGUUCACUCUUGUGAAUCCAACUGGAGCUCCCCCGACAAACUUCCACAAACUGCAGACAGCGACGCUGGGAUUUGGUGUAAUUCGAAUUAUGGUGCUGGUUUCGGUUCCGCCAAUGGAUGCACUAUAGCAUUCCUGAAUAACAGCAAUGCUAAUUCCGCAAAUUGCACAAUUGGCGAUGCUUAUGGUGGCUUCGUGUGUCCUGGAGAAGGUGCAUUAUCUAAAUUUAUUUCUGGUAGUACAAGUUUCAACAUGAAUUACUUUGAAGUGUUUGGUUUAAAAGAUGCUUGAGUUUUAAUAAGAUUGUGG
Non-coding RNA from Paramuricea clavata, 340 nucleotides. Lineage: Eukaryota; Metazoa; Cnidaria; Anthozoa; Malacalcyonacea; Plexauridae. The record is from the annotation of a GenBank genome assembly.